GUCUUCAUUUUUCGGUAUUCGGCUAUCCUGUUCUACUGCUUGGUCAUAAAGAGUAUCAUUUUUUUAGAUAGCAGUAAAAAAUCAUGUCAAUCUUGUUUUCCCUCCAUAGAUAUUAAUUUUAACACUGCAUACAUACUACCAUCAUGUUUGCAGACUGAUACCGAGUAUUUCUGUUGACUGAAGUUUUCAUAUACAUUUUCUUGUGACCAUGAGGUCACGGGUUUAAGUCCUGGAAACAGCCUCUUGCGGAAACGUAGGAAAAGGCUGCGUACAAUAGACCCAAAGUGAUCGGACCCUCCCCGGACCCUGCACAAGCGGGAGCUACAUGCACCGGGCUACCCUUUUUUAAUGAAUAUAGUUUGCCUUGAUGCAUAUACACGUUUUAGGACUUGGUUGCCUUGUUGAUGUUAUGAUUAUUUUUAUCUAUGCUACUGGCUAAGUAUGGUUGUCUCAAAAAGUUGUCUUUCUGCAGGAAUUUCAAAAAGGUGAACUCUCUUCCUACUCAUGUGGAUAAGAGGGCCAUCAAAAUCAUGAUGUACGUAUCUGUGUCCGGUGAAUUUGAAACUGUGAUUCUUACCAGCAGCACCACCCGGACCUUUUAUAUCCGUCCAGGUUCAGAACUGGACAUGAGGUUCAUCCAAACGUCUGGGAACCACAGGAGGUUGAUCAAAAUGGUUAUCUGGUUUCUGCAAAAAAGUUUAACUUGUGGUGAGAAUACAAACGCUGAAAUGCAAAGUCUCGUUUGUCAUUAAGACGGUUAUCCAGAUUCCAGAGGCAAUAUUACUGCAUGAUGAUUUGAUUUGUUUCCCAAUCUUCAGGCAUGGAGUUAGCGCACACAUGUUGGAAACUACACUAAUCUCGUUGUGUGUAAUUGGUGCCUGAACUCUUCUCCUUCGAAGCGCUCCUAGCUUGUUUCCUUCAAUUCAAAAUAGUAUCAUUCACGGGGAUCAAGACUACAGAGAUAUAGUCUAAUUAGCAUGCAACCCUAGGAUCAGUUUGUGGCUCUUGAAGUGUGUUGUGCUGGAUUUAUUUAAGGAAAUAGUCGGUCCGUGCUAAUCUGAAGUUGGACAGUCAAAUUAUGGCACUCAAACAUCAUGUAUUCGAUAUGUGCCACCAGCCCACGAGCGGUUAUGAAAAAUUAGCUGCAUGGCCUUGCGCGCCGUCUCUGCUUGUUACUGUUUUUCUUUUAAAACAAGGCAAAAGCUUUGCCUUUUCAUUAAACAAGCAAGGAGAAAAGCAUAUACAAGGCCGAAGCCUGAAGCUUAAACGGAUUACUCUGUUGGGACGAUGGCUCCUAAAUGUUUCGCCCCGGCGAUACACGAGAACCUCUCAUCUCUCAUGAUAUUGUUAAAAACAAUCGACUGCAAAGAG
RNAcentral lists this long non-coding RNA (1371 nucleotides) under Hordeum vulgare. RNAcentral's name for it is "long non-coding RNA (HVUL_LNC018370)". The record is from RNAcentral. Lineage: Eukaryota; Viridiplantae; Streptophyta; Magnoliopsida; Poales; Poaceae.